This is a non-coding RNA of Bacteroides sp. CAG:144, 108 nucleotides long. Lineage: Bacteria; Pseudomonadati; Bacteroidota; Bacteroidia; Bacteroidales; Bacteroidaceae. The record is from Rfam.
UUGCGGCGGGUAAGUCCUACACGGCCAGCUCCCUGUCAAUCCCCCCAGGGCUUGACCGCAGCAAGGGUAGCAGGUCGUAGCGGCGCGAUGUAGAUCGCUUACCCGCUU